Molecule: long non-coding RNA, 2276 nt
Filed under: Homo sapiens (human)
Lineage: Eukaryota; Metazoa; Chordata; Mammalia; Primates; Hominidae
Description: HSALNT0323660
Source: RNAcentral
UUCUCCCUGUUGGUGAAGCUGGCCUCAAACUCGCGACCUCAGGUAUUCGAUGAGAUCAGGAGCAUGCCCAGCUCUCCACUGCGGGCUUCAUGUAAGAGGAGAGCCAUGAUAAUGUAUUGCAUUAUUCUUGUACAGUAAUCAGGAUGCAACAGAGUCAUCAGCAAAUAUACAACUUCAUAUCAACUAAAGGUACUUUACACAAGAGAAGAGACUCCAAGGCAACAGAUUUCCUAUAGCAGUCUUUUCCUAAGAGUACUAAGGUAAUUAGCCUCAACAGGAGAUAAUUUCGGUUCACAGGGGUUGCUGUUGUUUUAAGUGUUUCUGGGAAAAUUGGAUUUUCCAUUGAUAGCAGUUUUAACAUGUCACACUGGAGCCAGAGUGAAUUAAACUGAAGAGCUACACAGUCUAAACAAACAUUCCUUCCCAUUAUCAGAAGCCUGACAACAUAAUAGCAUAAACUAUAGUCAUGUGGUCACAUUCACAAGUAAUGCAGAAACAAUUAAAAAUCAAAGAAAUGCUACAUUUUGUAAAGCAGACUUAGUUGAGGUAAGCAUGUUUAAAAUUAUUACUUUUCCUUCCUCCCCUACAAGUUUUAUAUUGUGCUUUAAAGUUGAAAAAAAAAUAGCAAUGUUUGUUUGAAUCACGAUUAGUGAUUAGAAAAUCCAAAUCUCUCUAGCCUGUGUUUUGUAAUACCAAAGUAGACCGUGGUACCAUUGCAACAUAAUUCAAGUAUUUAAACUUUGAAAACACUGCUGAUUUGACAUGCUUAUUUUUUAAUAUUUUUCUGUUUUACAAAAAUUGCACAAAUUACUGAAAUAAAUUUGGAGCUGUAAUUCCACUAUGUGUUACCUUUCCUCAAAGACGUUAAUCAAAUUUGGUUAUAUUUACACAUGUAAUGGAUGAUAUAGUUUACAUGUCAAAAGUAGGGUGCAUUUAUAGAUAAUUUUUCUUAAUUUCAUAACUAAGAGAUUUUUAAAAACUCAUAAAAAUUGAUAGAAUUACACUUCAGUAGGCUCUGAAAUGAAAACAUUUUGUCAAUAAUUUUGAAAUUAUAAUAUUACUUUCCUACAUUUAGAUGACUUGUGAAGAUAAUAAAAAAUUAUCAAAAUGCUUUUGGCUACAGAAUGUUUGUGUCAUAAAAUAGUAACAGAUUUUUAACUGUUAUUCAAGGAAGGUUGUACUAAUUAUAUUUCAGAAAAUCGUUGAGACUUAGACUUUCUCUCUGCAUGCGUGUGUACAUGAGAGAAAGAACUUGCCUUCAUGUGAUUUGAGCUUGGUAACCGCAUAUCUAACACUUUCCAAGACCCACAUUGUCAAGUACUCCAUUCGCAUAGGUAGAUUCAAAUUUACUGAACCUUGUUGUUUUUAUUCAGAAAAGGAAAUAAAUCAACUAUCAUGAUAUUAAAACAUCUUCAAGUGAGGCUUUGUUAUUUCUUCUGUAUCAGUUCUCUAAGUAGUGGUGUGGAGAACUCACUUUACUCUUAACUUCAUCUUGAUUUGAUGUCUCUUUUCAACAACUGAACAUUCUUCUGAAUUCAGGGAUCGAGAUCGAGUGGUAAGUGAGCAGGGAAUACCAAGAUGCACCAAAAUUAAUAGUGGUAGGAAUUCAAUUCCACUUAAUUUAAAAAUACCUAUUGUAAAAAUUGCUAGGCACUCUAAAGGAUAUAAUAAUUGCAAAUAGUCACUCAAUCCUUAGGGAACAUACAAGAAGUGAGGAGAUAAACUAUAGAAAUAAUCUACACAAGGUACAGUGUGAAAAUACUUUUUAAAAAAGUGCUGGGAGAACAAUAAAAAAGAUAAGUUCUGAAAGUAUCCUCAGACCAGUGAUUCCCAGGCCAGGCCACACAUGAGAAAUAGCUAGGAAAAUCUUUAUAAAAAUUGAAAUUAGUACUUUCCUGGACCCACCGGUUAAGCACUUUUGGGGGGUAAAAACUGAGCAUAUAUAUUUUUUAAAACCUCUCCUGAUAAUUCUGAAGUACAAUCAGAUUUGAAAACACUAGUCCACACUAUCUAAGCAUAAGCUAGUUACAAAAUCUUAUGUAAAUAUAUCCGUAGCUCUCUUAAUUAUUUUCUAAAUGGGGCUCCCUCAUAUGGAACUGACCCUUCCAAACUUAACUUCCACUUGCAAAAUUCAAAACAUCCUCCAAGUAGUUCCACCCAGCUUCAAUACUUUGUUUCCUCAGACCACAUUCAGAAUUUAAUACAAACAUCAAAUAUUUGUUGACAUAUAUUUCCUUUUUUGCAUACAUUCUUAGUGAUCUAUUCACAUGACUUAU